This 699-nucleotide long non-coding RNA is filed under the name Equus caballus (horse). RNAcentral describes it as "lncRNA (ENSECAG00000034472.2)". The record is from RNAcentral. Lineage: Eukaryota; Metazoa; Chordata; Mammalia; Perissodactyla; Equidae.
UCCGCUUGGGCUGGCCGGGAGGCGGCUCCAGAAUGAACCGUGGAGCGCCGUGUUCCGGCUGCGCCGAGCUCCUCUCCCUGCUCCUCAGCCCCAUCUCUCCGCAGCUGCUGCGGAUGACUCUUUGUGGUGACGGGCUGGACCGCGCAGGGCAGGACGCCAGCAGGAGGCCGGGUUUGAGUGCUCGCAAGCAGCGCGGCAGGGGGCAAGGAUAGGAAAUGUACCAGACGAGAAGCUGCAGAACAGUGCCAGCAAAUUCAGAUUCCCUGGACAAUGCUGAGUGCCCGGACUCAAGUUUCCUAAUGCCUGCAAAGCUCCUAAGUCACAGGCACUGUGAGCUAGUGGCAGCAGAGGGACCCGAGGGAGGACUACACAGCAAGAGGAAGAGUCUGCUUCUAUCAGUUAUACAGGAUGCCGCAGCGCAGGGACGGCUGUGUGACUGCCUUACUCCCACACCUCAGAGAGCACACAGGGGACAACGCCACCCCAUUACAUAUGCAUUUACCAUCCUUGGGUUAAGAAAAUCAUUUGUGCUGUGCUCUGAACUUCUUGGGGAAACAGAAUGGAUGCCCCUGUCCACAGAGGAGGAUAUGCCUCCCCCUGGGUACAGGGGUCCACUCCAGCUACUUUCCUCUCCAAGUGGCUGUCCUGCUGUGUGAGAAUUGUGCCGCCAAAGCAGAAAGCCUUUCUGCUCUUGCCGGG